GAUGAACGCUGGCGGCGUGCCUAAUACAUGCAAGUCGAGCGAACAGAUAAGGAGCUUGCUCCUUUGACGUUAGCGGCGGACGGGUGAGUAACACGUGGAUAACCUACCUAUAAGACUGGGAUAACUUCGGGAAACCGGAGCUAAUACCGGAUAACAUAUUGAACCGCAUGGUUCAAUAGUGAAAGGCGGCUUUGCUGUCACUUAUAGAUGGAUCCGCGCCGUAUUAGCUAGUUGGUAAGGUAACGGCUUACCAAGGCAACGAUACGUAGCUGACCUGAGAGGGGGAUCGGCCACACGGGAACUGGGCCACGGUCCAGACUCCUACGGGAGGCAGCAGUAGGGAAUCUUCCGCAAUGGGCGAAAGCCUGACGGAGCAACGCCGCGUGAGUGAUGAAGGUCUUCGGAUCGUAAAACUCUGUUAUCAGGGAAGAACAAAUGUGUAAGUAACUGUGCACAUCUUGACGGUACCUGAUCAGAAAGCCACGGCUAACUACGUG
Molecule: ribosomal RNA, 497 nt
Filed under: uncultured bacterium
Lineage: Bacteria
Description: partial 16S ribosomal RNA
Rfam family: Bacterial small subunit ribosomal RNA
Source: RNAcentral